UCCUCGAAAGUAUAGUGGUCAGUAUCCCCGCCUGUCACGCGGGAGACCGGGGUUCAAUUCCCCGUCGGUGAG
This is a non-coding RNA of Drosophila persimilis, 72 nucleotides long. Lineage: Eukaryota; Metazoa; Arthropoda; Insecta; Diptera; Drosophilidae. The record is from Rfam.